UACGUAGGGUGCAAGCGUUAAUCGGAAUUACUGGGCGUAAAGCGUGCGCAGGCGGUUAUGUAAGACAGAUGUGAAAUCCCCGGGCUUAACCUGGGAACUGCAUUUGUGACUGCAUAGCUAGAGUACGGUAGAGGGGGAUGGAAUUCCGCGUGUAGCAGUGAAAUGCGUAGAUAUGCGGGAGGAACACCGAUGGCGAAGGCAAUCCCCUGGACCUGUACUGACGCUCAUGCACGAAAGCGUGGGGAGCAACAGG
This 253-nucleotide ribosomal RNA is filed under the name uncultured bacterium. RNAcentral describes it as "partial 16S ribosomal RNA". It matches the Rfam family "Bacterial small subunit ribosomal RNA", at positions 524 to 775 of the family's 1533-position model. The record is from RNAcentral.